GGCAACCUGCUCGGGUCCUCUUCUAGGGUGUGGAAGGUUUGUUCUUUUGCUCUUGGUACUGCUCACUGUUUGGGUCCAUGUUGCUUUUAUGAGCGGUAAAACUCACCGUGAGGAUCUGCAGCUUAACUCCUGAGCCCAGUGAGAGCACGAGCCCACGGGAAGGAAUGAACAACUCCAGUCACGCUGUCUUAAGAGUUGUAACUCCGCAAAGGUUUGCAGCUUCACUCCUGAGCCAGCAAGACCAUGAACCCACCAGAAGGAAGAAACUGGGAACACAUCUGAACAUCAGAAGGGACACACUCCAGAUGUGCCACCUUAAGAGCUGUAACACUCACCACAAGGGUCUGUGGCUUCAUUCUUGAAGUCAGUGAGAUCAAGAACUCACCAAUUCUGGACACACUGUGACCCCACCCACCUAGCAAUUGACUCAGCACUGGAAGACAGUUUUGACACACCUGUGAUUUCAUCCCUGACUCAACCAAUCAGUAAUAGCCGUUUCCUAACUGCUGCCCACCAAACUGUCCUUAAAAACCCUAUCCUCCAAAUUCUUGGAGGCAGAUUUAAGAAAUAUCUCCCAUUUUCUUGCUCAGCUGCCUUGCAAUUAUUAAACUGUUUCUUUGUUGCAACACCUUCUGUCUCAGUGUAUAUUGGCUUUUUCUUUGCAACAGGCAAGAAGAAUCCACUGGGCUGUAACAUCCUUGCCCGCAUUUGGUGAUGUCAUUUUUUAUUUUAGGCAUUCUGAUAGUACAUAGUGAUAUUUCAUUUAAAUUUAAAUGUGUGGUUUCCUAAUAGCUAAUGAUGUUGAAUGGCUUUUUGUGUGCUUAUUUGAUGCUAUCUGUAUAUUCCUUUGGGUGAAAUGUCUCUUCAUAACUUUUGCCUAUUUUCUAAUUGGAUUGCUUGCUUUUUUAUUUUGAGUUUUGAGAGUUCUUUGUAUUUUUCAGCUACAACUUCUGUGUUGGAUAUGUGGCUUGCAAAUAUCUUUUUUUUUUCUUUUUUAAGACAGGGUCUCACUCUGUCAUCCAGGCUAGAGUGCAGUGGUGUGAUCAUGGCUAACUGCAAUCUCCACCUCCUGGGCUCAAGUGAUUCUCCCACUUCCAGUGAUUCAGCCUACUCAGUAGCUGGGACUACAGGCAUGCACCACCAUGUCUGGCUAAUUUUUUGUAUUCUUAGUAGAGAUGGGGUUUUGUCUUGUUUCCCAGGUUGGUCUCAAAUUCCUGGACCCAAAUGAUCUGCCCUACUUGGCCUUCCACAGCUGCUGGGAUUAUAGGCGGUUAGUAAAUAUCUUC
RNAcentral lists this long non-coding RNA (1286 nucleotides) under Homo sapiens (human). RNAcentral describes it as "HSALNT0332979". The record is from RNAcentral. Lineage: Eukaryota; Metazoa; Chordata; Mammalia; Primates; Hominidae.